This 423-nucleotide unclassified non-coding RNA is filed under the name Hevea brasiliensis (rubber tree). The record is from RNAcentral. Lineage: Eukaryota; Viridiplantae; Streptophyta; Magnoliopsida; Malpighiales; Euphorbiaceae.
GAUUUUGCAGUGCCUAGAAUUAUGUCUGGCGGAUUGGUCAAGGUUUUGGACCCUAGGGUUGGUCCGCCGGAGCUUAAUGAAGCAGAGGCAGUGGUGCUGGUUGCAUAUACUGCACUUCGUUGUGUGAAUUUGGAAGCGAAAGAUAGGCCAAGUAUGACUGACGUUGUUGUUAAUUUGGAGAGAGCUUUGUUUCUCUGUAAUGGUAGUAUGGAGGGGUAUUGACAAUGGGAAGAAGCAGACCAGCCAUGUGGUUGUAUGUGUUAGAAGUAUUAGAUAGUAUAGGAUUUCAGUUUUAUGUAUUUUAAUUCAUUUCAAUUGAUAAAUUUCAGUGAAGUUUUGAAUUCAUUAGAUAGAAGAAAAAUAGAGGAAGGAACUUUGAAAGAGAGUUGAGUAGCAGACCUGAAAAAGUUGAGAGUAGUCUUU